UUAAUCGGAAUUACUGGGCGUAAAGCGCACGCAGGCGGCUUGUUAAGUCAGAUGUGAAAUCCCCGGGCUCAACCUGGGAACUGCAUCUGAUACUGACAAGCUUGAGUCUCGUAGAGGGGGGUAGAAUUCCAGGUGUAGCGGUGAAAUGCGUAGAGAUCUGGAGGAAUACCGGUGGCGAAGGCGGCCCCCUGGACGAAGACUGACGCUCAGGUGCGAAAGCGUGGGGAGCAAACAGGAUUAGAUACCCUGGUAGUCAAGGGCGAAUUCGC
Molecule: ribosomal RNA, 269 nt
Filed under: uncultured Enterobacterales bacterium
Lineage: Bacteria; Pseudomonadati; Pseudomonadota; Gammaproteobacteria; Enterobacterales
Description: partial 16S ribosomal RNA
Rfam family: Bacterial small subunit ribosomal RNA
Source: RNAcentral